Chlorocebus sabaeus (green monkey) is the source of this 1158-nucleotide non-coding RNA. NCBI's taxonomy places the organism in Eukaryota, Metazoa, Chordata, Mammalia, Primates, Cercopithecidae. The record is from RefSeq and is a predicted model, not a curated record.
AUGAACCAGAGAAGCCCAUCAGCGUCGCGCCGACCCGGUUCUAAAGUCCACACACACACACCCACCUGGACUCGGAGUCUUCCCAGACGCCGACGAUGGGUCGUGGCGCCCCGAACCCUCCUCCUGCUGCUCUCGGGGACCCUGGCCCUGACCAAGACCUGGGCCGGCUCCCUCUCCUUGACAUAUUUCAGCACCUCCCGUGUCCCGCCCCGGCCGCGGGGAGCCCCGCUUCAUCGCAGUGGGCUACGUGGACGACACGCAGUUCCUGCGGUUCGACAGUGACGCCGCGAGUCCGAGGAUGGAGCAGGAGGGGCCGGAGUAUUGGGAGUUGCAGACACUGGGCGCUAAGGCCCAGGCACAGACUGGCUGAGUGAACCUGAGGACCCUGCUCCGAUACUACAACCAGAGCGAGGCCGCUGAGAGCCUUUACCAGGUAAUGUUUGGCUGCAACCUGGGGCCCGACGGAUGCCUCCUCCGCUGGUAUGAACAGUAUGCCUACGACGGCAAGGAUUACAUCGCCCUGAACGAGGACCUGAGCUCCUGGACACGCCGCGGGUCAGACUACCCUGCGCAAGUGGGAGGCGGCCAAUGUGGCUGAGCGAAGGAGAGCCUAUCUGGAGGGCACCUGCGUGGAGUGGCUCCGCAGGCACCUGUAGAACUGGAAGGAGACACUGCAGCGCGCGGAUCCCCCCAAGACACACGUGACCCACCACCCCGUCUCUGAACACGAGGCCACCCUGAGGUGCUGGGCCCUGGGCUUGUACCCUGCGGAGAUCACACUGACCUGGCAGUGGGACGGGGAGGACCAGACCCAGGACAUGGAGCUCGGGGAGACCAGGCCCGCAGGGGAUGGAACCUUCCAGAAGUGGGCGGCUGUGGUGGUGCCUUCUGGAGAGGAGCAGAGAUUCACAUGCCAUGUGCAGCAUGAGGGUCUGCCCAAGCCCCUCACCCUGAGAUGGGAGCUGUCUCUCCAGCCCACCAUCCCCAUCAUGGGUAUCGUUGCUGGCCUGGUUAUCCUUGCAGCUGUCAUCACUGGAGCUGUGGUCGCUGCUGUGCUAUGGAGGAUGAAGAGCUCAGACAGAAAAGGAGGGAGCUACUCUCAGGCUGCAAGUAGCCAAAGUGCCCAGGGCUCUCAUAUGUCUCUCAAGGCUUAUAAAG